Molecule: microRNA precursor, 106 nt
Filed under: Podarcis lilfordi (Lilford's wall lizard)
Lineage: Eukaryota; Metazoa; Chordata; Lepidosauria; Squamata; Lacertidae
Source: RNAcentral
UGCUUGCCCAUCCCUCCUCCCGCCUUGCUGUAAAAGAGGAGGAAGAGGCACCGGGACAGGUGCUUUGCUGGCUUUACAGCGAGGCGGGAGGUGGGAUGGGCAAGCA